This 337-nucleotide unclassified non-coding RNA is filed under the name soil metagenome. RNAcentral's name for it is "partial contains 5.8S ribosomal RNA, internal transcribed spacer 2, and large subunit ribosomal RNA". The stretch from base 1 to 120 matches the Rfam family "5.8S ribosomal RNA", at positions 35 to 154 of the family's 154-position model. The record is from RNAcentral.
GAUGAAGAACGUAGUGAAAUGCGAUAAGUAGUGUGAAUUGCAGAAUUCGGUGAAUCAUCGAAUCUUUGAACGCACAUUGCGCCCCUUGGUAUUCCAUGGGGCAUGCCUGUUCGAGCGUCAUUUGUACCUUCAAGCUCUGCUUGGUGUUGGGUGUUUGUCUCGCCUCUGCGUGUAGACUCGCCUCAAAAUAAUUGGCAGCCGGCGUAUUGAUUUCGGAGCGCAGUACAUCUCGCGCUUUGCACUCAUAACGACGACGUCCAAAAGUACAUUUUUACACUCUUGACCUCGGAUCAGGUAGGGAUACCCGCUGAACUUAAGCAUAUCAAUAAGCGGAGGA